AUUGAACGCUGGCGGUAGGCCUAACACAUGCAAGUCGAACGGCAGCACAGUAAUAGCUUGCUCUUACGGGUGGCGAGUGGCGGACGGGUGAGGAAUACAUCGGAAGUUACUUUUUCUUGGGGGAUAACGUAGGGGAACUUACGCUAAUACCGCAUACGACCUACGGGUGAAAGCAGGGGAUCUUCGGACCUUGCGCGAUUGAAUGAGCCGAUGUCGGAUUAGCUAGUUGGCGGGGUAAAGGCCCACCAAGGCGACGAUCCGUAGCUGGUCUGAGAGGAUGAUCAGCCACACUGGAACUGAGACACGGUCCAGACUCCUACGGGAGGCAGCAGUGGGGAAUAUUGGACAAUGGGCGCAAGCCUGAUCCAGCCAUACCGCGUGGGUGAAGAAGGCCUUCGGGUUGUAAAGCCCUUUUGUUGGGAAAGAAAAGCAGCAGGUUAAUACCCCGCUGUUCUGACGGUACCCAAAGAAUAAGCACCGGCUAACUUCGUG
This 492-nucleotide ribosomal RNA is filed under the name uncultured bacterium. Its description in RNAcentral is "partial 16S ribosomal RNA". It matches the Rfam family "Bacterial small subunit ribosomal RNA", at positions 30 to 507 of the family's 1533-position model. The record is from RNAcentral.